CCCGGAGGAAGUGAGGGAACAACCGGUGCCUGGGGGUGUUAGGGGCAGCCGGGCAUUGAGGCCGGUGUGCCUGGAAUGGAGAGAGGGGCAGAAAGAAAGGACGGAAUCAUGACAGCAAUGGCUCAGUGUUGAGCAGGUGCCUGGCAAAGUGUUAGGUGCUCUAUGCAUAUUAUUUCUUUUAAGUCUCAGGACAGCCCAGACGUGGGCGCUACCAUUGUGUGAGAGGAAAUCAGGCUCAGGCAGGCUAAAUAACUUGCCCAUGGUCACACAGCAUUGGAGCCCAAGGAGACUGGCGUCAUUGCCUGAAACACCCAGGAGGCCCAGGGCAGGGUGACCUUGACCAAGUCUGGUCCUCUGUGCCGCGCCUCAGUUUCCUCCCAGAGUGCUAGAGGGAGAGGGUGUGACUGACCUCCUGAAGUGAAAGAUGGGUGGGCAGGGUCCUUUUGCUGACCAUCUGCCCAAAAGCCAGCUGGCUGUAAUUCAUACCCAGCAAAUGGGGCCCUGAAACCGAGCCUGAAAUCAGUGCACAGAACAAGGGCGUAGCAGGAGCCUUCGAGGAUGUCUGUUCUCUUGGGAGAGGCUUUUGUUGUCUGGGAAGCACUUGUCCCCCUUUCGGCUCUGGUGCAGGUACAAGUGGCUUUGGGGAGAGAGGGCAGAAGGCCCAGAGCCUGGAAGAGGCUGCUUCUGUGGGUGGUUGAGGGGAGCCCGGUGCGGCUGAGUGCUCCGGAGCAGUAACAGAGAUGGAGUCAGCCAGGCAGGCUGUGUGCCGGCAAGCAAGUGCAGAACAAGCAGAAUCCCCCAAACAUCCCUGUGAGUCUGGAGAGAUUCACACACGCACACACAAACACAAAACACACGAAACCCUCCCAUGUCUGCACCUGCAGCACAUUCUCUGACCGCUGCACAGACCAGAGGGUAAGAGCCUCAGGGCUACCGAUCUGGCUCUGCUGGCCAUGCUGACCGGUUCUCUGCUUUGGGAAGGGGGGGGAAAUGUUUUUGUGCUCCUGUGAAGAUCUGCUUAUGCCUCUGAUCCCGAGAAGGGCUGCGGGUUUCUAAUGGGGCAAGGAUGGCGAGUCUUCUGCAAUUUGCCCCUUCUCCAGCCUGGCACAGCCUCCAGCCUUGGCCUUUGGGCUGUGGUGUGAAAUGUGGCCCUGGGAGGGUUAGGGGUGCGACCCAGCCCCCUGUGUUGGAGUCUCCGGUCACUAGUCAGUCAGAGGUCCUGGUGGUAUAGGACCACAGCAGAACUUACCAUCAGGCCUAUUUGGUAGAUGCUCAGAAAGGUUAAGUGGUUUGCCUGAGCAUGCACAGCUGUAAAAGAGCAGAGAUGGGAUCCUAGUCCAAACCAUUUGACUGCAGAGCCCAAGCCCUGCCCCUCUGGGAGCUGAUUCACCCCUGUAGAGGGGAUACAUUUUGUGUUUGGCUUGAAGACCCCCCCACACACACAUACUCUGUGGGGUUGUAGGGGUGGCAGAUGGGAUGAUGACCAAAGGCGAUGGAGGCACUUUCUGCUUUUCUUCUCAACCACACCGUCCCCAGACCUUGUCACCAGGCCUUUGUGUCUGGGUCAAAUAGGUCAGUCCUUUCUCAUGGUGGGACUGGUGCAGGUGGGGCCAGAGGCACCUUGUGGGGUGCCGGCAGAGGGCUUCCUCUUCAUUAAGUUUGGGGGUCAGGUGAAUGACUCUCACUCUACCUGGGCGCCUAGGACCUCCCGUACACCCUGACCUUUAACUAAUGGGGCAGCUGGAGUUCUGGUCACUGACCAGGUGGGCCAAGAGUGUGGGAGUGUCCAGGUGGAGGUCUAGAGGUCUGAGGCGGCACAUGUGAGUCCUGAGACUCAUGUGGAUAAAUGUGGAUAGAAUGCCGGAAAGAGGUGAGGGCUGGUCCCCUCAGGUGAGUCUCCGUGCAUGGUUGCCUACUGAGCUGGUGAUAAUUCUGAGCCUUACAGCCCCAGUGGAUUCUCAAACUGAGAAACUUACUGAACUGGUGGUAGCAGAAUUCUCCAAUGACCCCCAAUGACCUUUGCCCUCGUAUACUCCUUCCCCUUGAGUGUGGGCGGAACCUGUGACUAUGGCAUCACUCCCGUGAUUAGGUUAUGUUAUAUGGCACAGUUGCCCUUGAGAUAGAUUAUCCAGGUGGGCCUGAUCUAAGCACACAAGACCUUUAAAAGCAGAGUUUUCUCCAGCUGCUUGUGGAAGAGGAAAUUAGAUUCAAAGCGAGAGAGGGAAUCAACGUGUGGGACCCUCUCUGUUCCUCAGAUGGUGGGGCCACGGGACAAGGUCCUGAGGAUGGUCUCCAGGAGCUGACAGUCCACAAGACAACGGGACGUCAGUCCUACAGCUGCAAGGGACUGAAUCCUGCCAACAAACAGUGACUUUGGAAGGGCAUCCUAGCCCCUGAUGAGAUUGCAGCCCCGCUGACACCUUGAUUUCACCCGGCAGGACUCUGAGCCGAGAGCCCAGCCAUGCCACACCUGUGAUAAACUGUACUGUUUCAAGCCAAUAAAUUUAUGGACAUUUGUUACACAGAAGCAGGAAAUGAAUACAUCAUCUAUCCAAGGAGAAGAACAGUAUUCUUGACACACAUGUAGGAUAAAAGUUUAAAACUGAGAAAAAUGCAUCCCCCCUCCCCGUGGGUGCUAUGUAGAGUGGAAACCUGCCUCGGUCUCUGUGCUGACGGUCUUCCUGGCUGCAGUUUCUUUCUUUUUUUUUUUUUUUGCGGUACGUGGGUCUCUCACUGUUGUGGCCUCUCCUGUUGUGGAGCACAGGCUCCAGACGCGCUGGCUCAGCGGCCAUGGCUCACAGGCCUAGCUGCUCCGCGGCAUCUGGGAUCUUCCCGGACCGGGGCACGAACACAUGUCCCCUGCAUCGGCAGGCGGAUUCUCAACCACUGCGCCACCAGGGAAGCCCCUGGCUGCAGUUUAAAUCCACAUUCUCAGGGCUCCCAUCUCUCAACUGAACCUCCAACCAGCCUCAGAAGAAGGCAGGUGUGUUCUGAGAAGGGCAGUGCUGAUCGCGCCAUCAGGGCAGCCAGAUGCCACUUUGGCUGAAGAAAGAAGCUCUGGAACCCUCUGCUGUAGGGGAUCCUUGUGAUUUCUGGGGCUCCCGGGACUUCUGGACAUCUUUAGGCCCAAUAAAGCUGUUUUUAACCUAACAGCUUUAUUUGGGCUUCCCUGGUGGCACAGUGGUUAAAAUCCACCUGCCAAUGCAGGGGACGUGGGUCCCAGCCCUGGUCCAGAAAGAUCCCACAUGCCACGGAGCAACUAAGCCCAGGUACCACAACUACUAAGCCUGCGCUCUAGAGCCUAUGAGCCACGACUACUGAAACCCUGCGAGCCUAGAGCCCGUGCUCCGCAACAAGAGAAGCCAACACAAUGAGAAGCCCGCGCACCGCAACGAAGAGUAGCCCCUGCUCGCUGUAACUAGAGAAAGCCAGUGUGCAGCACGGAAGACCCAGAGCAGCCAAAGACAAAAAACAAACAAAAAAACCCAACAUAACAGCUUUAUUAGAUAUAAUUCCCAUGCCAUAUAAUUCACCCAUCUAAAGU
Molecule: non-coding RNA, 3544 nt
Organism: Kogia breviceps (pygmy sperm whale)
Lineage: Eukaryota; Metazoa; Chordata; Mammalia; Artiodactyla; Physeteridae
Source: RefSeq, a predicted model, not a curated record